Long non-coding RNA from Meriones unguiculatus (Mongolian gerbil), 481 nucleotides. RefSeq lists it as uncharacterized. The transcript is spliced from 2 exons. The record is from RefSeq and is a predicted model, not a curated record. NCBI's taxonomy places the organism in Eukaryota, Metazoa, Chordata, Mammalia, Rodentia, Muridae.
GGGCGGGGGCUGCGGCCCUCGAGGCCGGACCACCAGCCCCAACGGGGGCGCGCGCGCUCCGCGCUCCCGCAGUCCGCCCAGGCCUCUCUUUCUCGGAGACCCGCCGGCUACCCCCAGGACCGGGCUCCAUCCGUGAAUCACAGGUCACGAGCAGAAGUACCAUUUGAACCUCAAAGCAAGACGGUGUGGAGCGCGGGCAGAACUUUAUCUAUACGAGGAAGAAAACUACAGCUGACAAAGCGGACCGACUUGGCCAAGGUUAAGAAGGCUGCUAAAUAGUGGUGCCUGAACUUGGGAGGCAGAGGCAGGAGGAUUGCAAGUUCCAGGCCAUCAUGAUGUACAGUCUGAGGUCCUGUCUGAGAAAAACCAGAGCUUUGGGCUGUAACUCCUCCCCAUAGGCUCAGGGGAACUCACACAGCACGCACACUGCCGUGGGUUCCUGAGGCCUCCAAAAUAAAUAAAUGGAUCCUGGUUUCCGAAA